This 65-nucleotide transfer RNA is filed under the name Ochthebius magnannulatus. Its description in RNAcentral is "tRNA-Asn". The record is from RNAcentral. Lineage: Eukaryota; Metazoa; Arthropoda; Insecta; Coleoptera; Hydraenidae.
UUAAUUGAAACCAAAAAAGAGGUAUAUUACUGUUAAUAAUAUUAAUGAGUCAUACUCCAAUUAAA